Molecule: ribosomal RNA, 253 nt
Filed under: uncultured bacterium
Lineage: Bacteria
Description: partial 16S ribosomal RNA
Rfam family: Bacterial small subunit ribosomal RNA
Source: RNAcentral
UACGGGGGGGGCAAGCGUUGUUCGGAAUUACUGGGCGUAAAGGGCUCGUAGGCGGCCAACUAAGUCCGACGUGAAAUCCCCAGGCUUAACCUGGGAACUGCGUCGGAUACUGGAUGGCUUGAAUUCGGGAGAGGGAUGCAGAAUUCCAGGUGUAGCGGUGAAAUGCGUAGAUAUCUGGAGGAAUACCGGUGGCGAAGGCGGCAUCCUGGACCGACAUUGACGCUGAUGAGCGAAAGCUUGGGGAGCAAACGGG